CGAGCGGCCACGGCCCCCGCCCUUCUCGUUUUCUGGAAUCUUCCGCAUGCCGCGGCGCGCGGCCGGAUGGGAGGGGAGGAGAGAGGAAGGGGGGGCGGCGGCCACGCGCUCGGCAGCGGCGGCGCCACGAGGAAGGCGCGCGGCCGCCGCUCUUUCCACCAGCAGCCGGGAGAGGGCCACCGGCGUGAGCACCGCGGCCGGCGGAUCCUGCCGACCAGUCCCGACCCCGCGCCCCGCCCCUCGCUUCGCUCCAGGCCCCGUCACCUCACCUGGGUGGCCUUCCCCCACAGACUCGGAGGUGAAGAGGAACGUGCCCUCCUCGAUGAACGCGUCGUGGAAGCCGUUGAGCUGCCCAUUCAUGGUGGUGGCGAAACUUGACCAAGCUACGUGAUCCUUAUAAAACCUUAGACGACUUGGGAGCCAGUAAGAAGAUGAAGUCUAACAGAUGUGGUUUUGGAUUAGCUGCUGACCUAAUAGCUGAUUCAGCCAUUACAUCUAUGUGGUUGCCUCCAAAGCCCCCAGCCCUGCCUGACCUUUCUGGUGACUCUAGACCCACACAUCCACCUGCCUGAGGGAAAGUUCCACGUUGCUGUCAGACCAAUGCUGGCCCCAAAGUUCAACGCUCCAAACUGACCUCAUCGUUAUUCCAGGCUUGAAACCUAGGAUCUAUUUUCCACUCCUGCCUCUCUCUUGGCACAGUUAGUCCCCACAGCGGAGUCACCGGCUGCUGCUAAUGGCUUUCACACUCAUCACAUUGUAAACGGCUGUGAGACGGCAGUGGGUAGGUGACCUGUCACACAGACCAGGCAGAAUGGGUCCCCACCUGGAAUAGGCUGGCAUCGGUAUAGAAGUCCGUUACAAACAUCAAAAGUGGUGUGUGGUGCUUCCCUGGUGGCACAGUGGUUAAGAACCCGCCUGCCAAUGCAGGGGACACGGGUUCGAUCCCUGGUCUGGGAAGAUCCCAUGUGCCGCGGAGCAACUAAGCCCGUGCACCACAACUACUGAGCCUGCGCUCUAGAGCCCACGAGCCACAACUGCUGAAGCCCGCGCUCCUAGAACCCGCACUCCGCAACAAGAGAAGCCACCGCAAUGAGAAGCCCGCGCACCGCAACGAAGAGUAGCUCCCACUCGCCGCAACUAGAGAAAGCCCGCGCACAGCAACAAAGACCCAAUGCAACCAAAAAUAAAUAAUAAAUAAAUAAAAGUGGUGUGUGACGGGGCGGGGGACAAGGGGAUGAGGGCAGGGGAGAUGGGAGGAGGCAGAGAUGUGGUCAAGGUCUAUGUCAGAUCACCAGGGUAAGAGGGGUCAACCAGCAGGGCAAGCAUAAGAAUUGAAGUCAUGAGCCAAGAGCAGACCUGGGAGCUGAGUUGGCGGGGCUCAUAGGACAGAGCAUGGGAGCUCUCACUGGCUUAUAGGGAUGGAGUUUGCUUUGGGGGUCAGGGGUGGGUUCCCCUUGGAGAGGCCCAGGCCUGCAUUUUCUCAGCUGUGUUGUGGCCCUGGGCUCGUGGAACCAUGUACACCUAUCAAUUCCCUCCUUUCCAUCCUCCUGACCACACCCCAACUCAGAGGGAUUCCUUACUUGCCUGAAAUUUGGGAAUGAUCUGAUCUCUCUGCCUGGCAUCAGACCAUUAUGCAUUGCAGCCUCUGGAGAAGGAGCAACCAACAUCCACUGCACACCUGCUGAGGCCUUUUGUGGAUUUUAUCACAUUCAUCCUGGCGGCAAGACAUGAUGGUGACAUCUGACAUUUGUUCCGUACCUCUGGUUUUUGUUUUAUUUUCACAAACACUAACUGAUUUGACCCUGUGGUAACCCAGUGAAGUGGUCAGAGCCUUAUUUGGUGGAUGAGAAAACUGGAGCCAGAGGGAUUAAACUGACGACCCAAAGGCACCCAGAUCCUUGUUACUCAAAGUAUAGUCCAUCAGUAUCACCUGGGGGCUUGUUAGAAACAUAGGAUCUUGGGCCCACCCAGGCCACCAAACCAGAAUCAGCAUUUUAACAGGAACCACCCCCCCGCCGCCCGACCCACCAGGGAUUCGCUGGCCUGAGCGGUUGUUGGAGGAGAAACCAGCCUUACGUGGCUAAGUCAACGCCAAUCAACAAUGUUUGACACAAAUACCCGAAGGUUACAUGCAACUCUCUGGGUCAAGCUUGGCCACCGGCUGGGAGUGAAAUUGACCAAGUCGGGGAUUGGAUGGUGGGAGAAGAGGGGAAGAGGGAAGUCAAGCUGAGGGGCGUUUGUGGAGGUUCUGCUGGGUGCCCGUGGCUAUGGUUCCAGGCACACAUGGCGAGGAGGCCCUGGAGCUGAGUGCAGCUGGGGAGCGAGACACAGGAGCCCAUCAGAGAAGAUUGCAAUCCAGCAUACAGGGGUGAGCUAAGUGGUGUGGCCGGACAGUUAGUGCUGGAGAAAGUACUGGUCCAUCGGGAGUGGAGGGUCUUCCUGAGCAGAGGCAGAAGGAAGGCAGGAGGAGGCAAGUAGGCCUGGAGUGUGGUGGGCCCUUCAGACCAGGUGAGGGAGUGCAAGUCCGGUCUGGUGGGCAGUGUCUUUGGAGGGUCUUGGCCUGAGAGUGUCUUGCUCACUUCUGCACCUUUUGUUACUCUCGCCAGUCUCCCCUUCUCAGGGAAACUUCUGUGUUUACCAUCCCUCUUAGGAUCUUGCAGCCGGUAGAACUGCUCCCUGCCAAUUCUCAGCAUCCGAAUUUACAUCCACCAGGUCCCCUUCCCUCUUUCUGAGUCUCGAGAAAACCACCACUUUUUACCCACUCAGCCACUCACCUUGGGAGUGAUCCCUGACUCCUCCCUUUCUUAUGACUUCCACAUUCAGUUCGAUUGCCUCUGCUCUGAAUUAUCUCUGAUAAGAACUCUUUAUCCAAGAAGAUGUGGCACAUAUAUACAAUGGAAUAUUACUCAGCCAUAAAAAGAAACGAAAUUGAGUUAUUUGUAGUGAGGUGGAUGGACCUAGAGUCUGUCAUAUAGAGUGAAGUAAGUCAGAAAGAGAAAAACAAAUACCGUAUGCUAACACAUAUAUAUGGAAUCUAAAAAAAAAAAAGGUUCUCAUGAACCUAGGGGCAGGACAAGAAUAAAGAUGCAGAUGUAGAGAAUGGACUUGAGGACAUGGGGAGGGGGAAGGGUAAGAUGGGAUGAAGUAAGAGAGUGGCAUGGACCUAUAUACACUACCAAAUGUAAAAUAGAUAGCUAGUGGGAAGCAGCCGCAUAGC
Eubalaena glacialis (North Atlantic right whale) is the source of this 3217-nucleotide long non-coding RNA. RefSeq lists it as uncharacterized. The transcript has 3 exons. Lineage: Eukaryota; Metazoa; Chordata; Mammalia; Artiodactyla; Balaenidae. The record is from RefSeq and is a predicted model, not a curated record.